This 907-nucleotide ribosomal RNA is filed under the name Ascochyta medicaginicola. RNAcentral's name for it is "LSU rRNA". It matches the Rfam family "Eukaryotic large subunit ribosomal RNA", at positions 38 to 963 of the family's 3401-position model. The record is from RNAcentral. Lineage: Eukaryota; Fungi; Ascomycota; Dothideomycetes; Pleosporales; Didymellaceae.
GCAUAUCAAUAAGCGGAGGAAAAGAAACCAACAGGGAUUGCCCUAGUAACGGCGAGUGAAGCGGCAACAGCUCAAAUUUGAAAUCUGGCGUCUUUGGCGUCCGAGUUGUAAUUUGCAGAGGGCGCUUUGGCAUUGGCAGCGGUCCAAGUUCCUUGGAACAGGACGUCACAGAGGGUGAGAAUCCCGUACGUGGUCGCUAGCCUUUACCGUGUAAAGCCCCUUCGACGAGUCGAGUUGUUUGGGAAUGCAGCUCUAAAUGGGAGGUAAAUUUCUUCUAAAGCUAAAUACUGGCCAGAGACCGAUAGCGCACAAGUAGAGUGAUCGAAAGAUGAAAAGCACUUUGGAAAGAGAGUUAAAAAGCACGUGAAAUUGUUGAAAGGGAAGCGCUUGCAGCCAGACUUGCCUGUAGUUGCUCAUCUGGGUUUUUACCCAGUGCACUCUUCUAUAGGCAGGCCAGCAUCAGUUUGGGCGGUUGGAUAAAGGUCUCUGUCAUGUACCUCUCUUCGGGGAGAACUUAUAGGGGAGACGACAUGCAACCAGCCUGGACUGAGGUCCGCGCAUCUGCUAGGAUGCUGGCGUAAUGGCUGUAAGCGGCCCGUCUUGAAACACGGACCAAGGAGUCUAACAUCUAUGCGAGUGUUUGGGUGUCAAGCCCGAGCGCGUAAUGAAAGUGAACGGAGGUGGGAACCUUUCGGGGUGCACCAUCGACCGAUCCUGAUGUCUUCGGAUGGAUUUGAGUAAGAGCAUAGCUGUUGGGACCCGAAAGAUGGUGAACUAUGCUUGAAUAGGGUGAAGCCAGAGGAAACUCUGGUGGAGGCUCGCAGCGGUUCUGACGUGCAAAUCGAUCGUCAAAUUUGGGCAUAGGGGCGAAAGACUAAUCGAACUAUCUAGUAGCUGGUUCCUGCGA